AUUCGAGUCUACGCAAACUGCGGAGCCCCGUGGCUCCGCGGUAGUUUUGUUCCAAGAAAGGACGCUGCGGGGGAGUUGGGGCGGCUUCUAACGCAUGCGUGGAGCGCCCUUUACCACUCGCUUUUUAUCCCGGUUUUGCAUGUCGGUUGCUGCAGCCCUGGGGAGGCGGAUGAGUAAUGGAAACUAGCCCAUCACUUUGAGGAGGGUACACAAAGGGAAAAAGGAACCAAUCCCACCCCGGUGAGCAAGAUUUGACUGAUGUCCCUGUCAGAUGAAGAAAUCAAGGUGGUUACAGAGCAUGUGGCAGACGCAGGACUCCAGUGCAAACAGUGUGGCUCCGGAGGCUAUGCUCUUAGCCCUUACAUUACCUUGCCUCUUAUUUUUGUGAGGUUAUCUAUAUUAGUUUCUCUGCAAAAGUUGGUAAUUAAAAAAAAAAUCUGUAGAACCUUAAACUGGUGGCUUUUCAGUCUAUAAAUGUGGCAGGUCAAUGGAAAUUUUAAAUGGAAUAAAGCAUAGAAUAAAAACGUUUCAAGA
Neofelis nebulosa (Clouded leopard) is the source of this 534-nucleotide long non-coding RNA. RefSeq lists it as uncharacterized. Lineage: Eukaryota; Metazoa; Chordata; Mammalia; Carnivora; Felidae. The transcript has 3 exons. The record is from RefSeq and is a predicted model, not a curated record.